Boleophthalmus pectinirostris (great blue-spotted mudskipper) is the source of this 538-nucleotide long non-coding RNA. RefSeq lists it as uncharacterized. The record is from RefSeq and is a predicted model, not a curated record. The transcript has 2 exons. NCBI's taxonomy places the organism in Eukaryota, Metazoa, Chordata, Actinopteri, Gobiiformes, Gobiidae.
AAAACAAGCCAACAUGCUUAAUUACAUUUUAAACAGAACAUUUUCAAACGAAUCAAAAAUACGGCACCUUUAACAUUUUAGCAAUAGUUUAGUGUUUUAUCUAAAAUCAGAAGGGACCGAAAUAACGGCGAUUAAACGUGACCCGUAUCAAAUACACUUUUCAUUUCAGCGGACUUUUAUUUUGGCGACUUUAUUUUGGCAGUCUACUUCCUGUUCGGCUGCCGCACUUUCCCCUUCCUUUAGGUACACGCGCUUUUCUUCCCCUCACUCUCAGCUGCGGCUGAUGUGUUUUGUCUGUAAAAACUCUCAACAAAGCUCUGGAAUUUCUAAAUAACGGCGUAUUUCAACUGUCCUGUUAAGGUCAGAUUUCCCACGGACUGAUUCUGUGAUUUGAAAAACAACCUCAACUCAACAAACUUCCAGAUAAUGAGCUAAGAGUCUGUGCGGUGGGACAGACUAUUUGUUUUGUUUUAUUGGACCUGGGAUUUGUACAAACUGUCUUCAAACUGUAGUUUAUAAUAAAACAACUGAAAAUUAA